GGCGGCUCUGCCCCUCAGCAGGCCGCUGGGCCUGCUCUGUGCGUGGUCACAGUUCCCUCUACCUUGCCGGUGCAGGGGGAGGGGGCGGCUCUGCCUCUCAGCAGGCCGCUGCUCCUCUUCUGCAGGUGGGUCGCAGGCCCGCCUACCUUGCAGGAGUGAUUGGAAGCUCUGUCCCACCGCGGGCCACUGGGCCUUUUCUGUCGGUGGUCAC
This 211-nucleotide long non-coding RNA is filed under the name Marmota monax (woodchuck). The record is from RNAcentral. Lineage: Eukaryota; Metazoa; Chordata; Mammalia; Rodentia; Sciuridae.